Molecule: ribosomal RNA, 494 nt
Filed under: uncultured bacterium
Lineage: Bacteria
Description: partial 16S ribosomal RNA
Rfam family: Bacterial small subunit ribosomal RNA
Source: RNAcentral
GACGAACGCUGGCGGCGUGCUUAACACAUGCAAGUCGAACGGAAAGGCCUGCUUUCCCUUGUGGAUUGCGGGUACUCGAGUGGCGAACGGGUGAGUAACACGUGAGUGAUCUGCCCCCAACUUGGGUAUAAGCCUGGGAAACUGGGUCUAAUUCCCGAUAGGACUGCAGGGUGGUGCCUGUGGUGGAAAACGAUUUUCUAGUAGUUGGGGAUGAGCUCGCGGCCUAUCAGCUUGUUGGUGGGGUAAUGGCCUACCAAGGCGGCGACGGGUAGCCGGCCUGAGAGGGUGGACGGCCACAUUGGGACUGAGAUACGGCCCAGACGCCUACGGGAGGCAGCAGUGGGGAAUAUUGCACAAUGGGCGGAAGCCUGAUGCAGCGACGCCGCGUGGGGGAUGACGGCCUUCGGGUUGUAAACUCCUUUCGACCGCGAGGAAGCCACCUGGUUGGAAGGGUGGUGACGGUAGUGGUAGAAGAAGCACCGGCUAACUACGUG